This 253-nucleotide ribosomal RNA is filed under the name uncultured bacterium. RNAcentral's name for it is "partial 16S ribosomal RNA". It matches the Rfam family "Bacterial small subunit ribosomal RNA", at positions 524 to 776 of the family's 1533-position model. The record is from RNAcentral.
UACAGAGGGUGCUAGCGUUGUUCGGAAUCACUGGGCGUAAAGCGCACGUAGGCGGAUGUGUCAGUCAGGGGUGAAAUCCCGGGGCUCAACCUCGGAACUGCCUUCGAUACUGCGGGUCUCGAGUCCGGGAGAGGUGAGUGGAAUUCCUAGUGUAGAGGUGAAAUUCGUAGAUAUUAGGAAGAACACCAGUGGCGAAGGCGGCUCACUGGCCCGAUACUGACGCUGAGGCACGAAAGCGUGGGGAGCAAACAGG